This 762-nucleotide long non-coding RNA is filed under the name Cinara cedri. Lineage: Eukaryota; Metazoa; Arthropoda; Insecta; Hemiptera; Aphididae. The record is from RNAcentral.
CGGUAUAUGUAUUGAAACAAGUGUUAUGGGCCCCGCAAUUGCUGGUGAAACGGUAGCGAUCGAAAAUUUUUUAACGCACUGACAUUCGUACUUUAAUUGUCGUACGGCGCGGACCACCGAGUCAGUGGCGACACGCAACGGGACAGAAGAUAUGCCGGCUAAACCUGCAGCAGAUAUCCUGGAACGCGAAGGCCGAUUCAGUGAUGUGUCUACCUGUAGUGCAAACGUAAGUAUUAAAACUGCUAACGAUCGCCACGUUAUUAUAGCGAAUUAUAUUACUUAAUUAACGAUAUACCUACAACACUGUAAUCGAGUACGUAAUAUUUUUUUUUCGACGACCUGAUCCCUUGAGCCAAGAGGACAAGUUUGUCUAUAUUGCAAUUACAAUCAAUUUGUUCGUUCGGCUCGAGUCAUGAGGAUCGUCAAUUAUACGACUUGCAUAAUAACACACUAAUAAUACACUCAAACUUUGUUAUUAUUAUUAUUUUUUUUUUUUUUUUUAAUAUUUAAAUAUAUAUGUAUACAUAUAUAUAUAUAUGUAUUAUUAUUAUAAUUGUUAUCGCCGCCGUUUAUACGUUUUACGGACUUUUUGUUUUUGUUUUCAUUUUAACGAAUUUUAUACUGUUGACAAUUUUUCAAAUACUUCCGUGUAUUUUUAUUAUUUUUAUAUUAUUAUAUAAUACUAUACGUGUAUUUUACUGAUCCUAUUAUUUGUGUUUAACUUUGUAAUUUGGUAUUUGUUAAUUUUAUAGUAGUAUUGAA